AGUAACCCAUUUAAAAUAGCCCAUACCAGAGAGAGAGAGAAAUCCAUUUUUAGGUUUAGAGAUAGAGAAAGACAAAGAGAAAGCAUGGGAGAAGGGGAAAGUGCAGGGAAAAGAAGAGCAAGCGCAGAGCACUAGAAGAGAGAGAGUGAAACCAUUUAAGUACGCCAUAUCUUCCCACCUGUGGGACGGAUUCCAAAGAGAGACAGAGACUAAACCCAUCGCUCAAGGAGAAGGAGGAACACAGGUAAGGAUACUCCAGCCAUAUUUCGACUCGUACCUUCUUCCCUUUAUUUCGACUCAACAUAAUAGAGAACAAUCAACAUAAUAUUUCGGCCAUAUUAUGUUGUAAUUUCUUUCUUAUUGAUUGUUGCCCUAGGGUCUAUUCCUCUGAAAAAUUCCUCCACUUUUUUUUUUUUUGCUUGGACUCUGAUUUAUAGGUUGUAUCUCUCUCUCUUUUCUUCAUUGGAUCAAAGGAUUGUUGUCACGAUUGUGUUCAGUUUUUGUAUUUUAAUGGCAAUAUUAUGAUUUAUUCAUUGGUAA
This 540-nucleotide long non-coding RNA is filed under the name Amborella trichopoda. Its description in RNAcentral is "long non-coding RNA (ATRI_LNC004879)". Lineage: Eukaryota; Viridiplantae; Streptophyta; Magnoliopsida; Amborellales; Amborellaceae. The record is from RNAcentral.